RNAcentral lists this long non-coding RNA (893 nucleotides) under Coffea arabica (coffee). Its description in RNAcentral is "long non-coding RNA (CARA_LNC003939)". Lineage: Eukaryota; Viridiplantae; Streptophyta; Magnoliopsida; Gentianales; Rubiaceae. The record is from RNAcentral.
UCCCGUCCGCGAAAAACUCCCAAAAAAAAAGACACUUUUUUUUUGGAGGAAAAGCUCCCAAAAUGUGAAAACCAAUUUCCUUUUUCAGCCUACAAAAUGGGCAAAACCAAGAUAUUGGAGUGCCGAUUCAGAGUUCGAGUUCAGGUCUGAUCUCAUCAGAAGCUUAGGUAAGGUAGCAUGUGAUGAUUGCACCCGUUGCUUUUCUUGAUUGCAAAUUUCUUUUUCUUCAUUGCAUUGCAUUGCAUUAAAAUGUGGUCAGUUUUUUUACUACGACCUUUUUUCUUAACAAUUUAAUGUGAAACGGAAAAAUCAAGAUGCGACCCCAAAGUUAAAGAAAAAGAAGAAGGUCAAGUAAGUAUGAUUUGACUGACCCCUUGUUCUUAAUCUUCGAUCUGGCGUCCCACCACCGUCACUUGGUAUUAAUAUUAAUGGGUUUGUUUGGAUACAUUAUUAUUAUUAUUGAUGAGUGGUUUUUUUAGUUACUACUAGUACGAACUUUUUCUACGGUUAACUGCCACCGCUGACAAUCUGAAUUGUGCAGACUUUAAAAGUCAAAUAAAUGAGGAAUGAUGACCUCCUCCGAUGCAUCUAGAAUGUGCAGAACAGAAGGUAGAAGGUGUCUCCGGCGAGUGGAUUUAGCGUAAUAAGAGAGGAUGCAAAUACAAGUUAGGUUAAUUUGUGAGAGGACGGAUGGACGUAAAAUACAAGUUGAAUGUAAAAUUUUCUAGUUCAGAUCUCCUUCCUUCCUUGCAGUGCACCACGACAUUACUAGCAUCAUAACAUGGCAUUCUCUGGGGAUCGAGGUCUCGCACAUGCUGAUGCGUGUACUCCAUUGCUACCUAGCUAUAUGAUUAUUGAUUUGUGGCAGUAUUCUCUUAUUAUAUAAUCCUCAC